Drosophila melanogaster (fruit fly) is the source of this 1107-nucleotide non-coding RNA. The record is from Ensembl. Lineage: Eukaryota; Metazoa; Arthropoda; Insecta; Diptera; Drosophilidae.
AUAUAUCCCUGACAGCCCUGAAUUUGCCCACGUUGUUUAGAUGCUCGUUCUCCAACCGAAAGUAAUUCCAAAUGAAGCGACGGAAAACCUCCAGGGGACUGAGAAUGGUCAUCAUCACAUCGCCCUCAAUGUAGCCAGCCUCAAUUAGACUCAUGGACAGGGUCCAGCUGAAGCGCAGUAUUAAAUCCUCAAUUAUGCCAAAGUAGUAGAACCACUGGGCACCGACAAGAGGAGAGAUAAUGAACGCUUUGAAAGAUUGUUUUACGUGCCGUUUGCCCAAAUAUUUAUCGUGGCCAUUAUUUUGUGGGGACUGCCCCCCUACUCCAAAUAGGAGAAAAAAACAAAACUCCACCCAACCGGACUCACCGUCGAUGAAUAAACGAUUUCCUCACGCAAGAAUCGAUUGUCGCCCGCCUUCGAGUCGAACAGUCCCCAGUCCAUUUUGAUGUCCCAUGUGUAGGCGUAGCAGGACGAGAAGAUGGCGGCCGUAAUCCAGCAGUAGAACCAAGGAUUCUCCUUGGACAGCGGGUAGGUGUCUGGAGAUGAGAAGACAAUGGCUUGGGUGAAAGAGGAAUGUACGUGCGAUACCGCCAAAAUACAAUCUACAUGAAUUUUCGACACUAAUUGGCACUGGACCGUAAAUAGCACACAUAAUGUAUAUAUGUGUACAUAUAUAUAUAUUUGCAAUUGCGAUGUGCCCUAAUGAACUCAUGCUUCGUAUAAUGAAUCCACUUACCGGUGGUCGUGUGAUAUUUGUGGGCAAAUAUAACCACAAAGAAGGACGUUGCAUACUUGGCGGCGUUGACCAGAUGCGGAAAUGACUCCUUUGUGUCGCGGUAUCUGCGGAUGCACUGGGCGAACCGGAAGUAGGCAGGCAUUAUGGCAACAAUGGGAUGCAACAGAGACACGUACUCCACACAGUGGCUGGCAGCUGUUGCACAAGCAAAACAAUGAUGAAUUGGGGAAAGGACCAAACCGACAAGCUGGUCUCAAGCAGAACGAGUAGCAUUGUAAACUUUUAUUGAAUGCUCAUAAAAAGGAAUGGAAAUCUUUGAUUUUUCCCCUACUUUUACUUCAAAUUGAGUUCAGCAUCGGAAACCCUGUGCU